RNAcentral lists this ribosomal RNA (346 nucleotides) under Loxops coccineus. RNAcentral's name for it is "12S ribosomal RNA". The record is from RNAcentral. Lineage: Eukaryota; Metazoa; Chordata; Aves; Passeriformes; Fringillidae.
AAAGACUUAGUCCUAACCUUACUGUUAGUUUUUGCUAGGUAUAUACAUGCAAGUAUCCGCGCGCCAGUGUAGAUGCCCUGGACACCUUAAUCAGGUAGAUAGGAGCGGGUAUCAGGCUCACCAUAACCGUAGCCCAAGACGCCUCGCACUUGCCACGCCCCCACGGGUAUUCAGCAGUAGUUAAUAUUAAGCAAUGAGUGUAAACUUGACUUAGCCAUAGCAAAUUAGGGUUGGUAAAUCCUGUGCCAGCCACCGCGGUCAUACAGGAGACCCAAAUUAACAUUAUAACGGCGUAAAGAGUGGUCACAUGCUAUCCAAGUAACUAAGAUUAAAACGCAACUGAGCU